Molecule: ribosomal RNA, 468 nt
Filed under: uncultured bacterium
Lineage: Bacteria
Description: partial 16S ribosomal RNA
Rfam family: Bacterial small subunit ribosomal RNA
Source: RNAcentral
GACGAACGCUGGCGGCGUGCUUAACACAUGCAAGUCGAACGGAAAGGCCCUGCUUUUGUGGGGUGCUCGAGUGGCGAACGGGUGAGUAACACGUGAGUAACCUGCCCUUGACUUUGGGAUAACUUCAGGAAACUGGGGCUAAUACCGGAUAGGAGCUCCUGCUGCAGGGUGGGGGUUGGAAAGUUUCGGCGGUUGGGGAUGGACUGGCGGCUUAACAGCUUGUUGGUGGGGUAGUGGCUUACCAAGGCUUUGACGGGUAGCCGGCCUGAGAGGGUGACCGGCCACAUUGGGACUGAGAUACGGCCCAGACUCCUACGGGAGGCAGCAGUGGGGAAUAUUGCACAAUGGGCGGAAGCCUGAUGCAGCAACGCCGCGUGCGGGAUGACGGCCUUCGGGUUGUAAACCGCUUUCGCCUGUGACGAAGCGUGAGUGACGGUAAUGGGUAAAGAAGCACCGGCUAACUACGUG